This 253-nucleotide ribosomal RNA is filed under the name uncultured bacterium. RNAcentral's name for it is "partial 16S ribosomal RNA". It matches the Rfam family "Bacterial small subunit ribosomal RNA", at positions 524 to 776 of the family's 1533-position model. The record is from RNAcentral.
UACGUAGGGGGCAAGCGUUGUCCGGAAUUAUUGGGCGUAAAGAGCGUGUAGGCGGUCCGGUAAGUCGGCUGUGAAAGUCCAGGGCUCAACCCUGGGAUGCCGGUCGAUACUGCCGGCCUCGAGGGGGAUAGGGGCGUGCGGAACUCAGGGUGGAGCGGUGAAAUGCGUAGAUAUCCUGAGGAACACCGGUGGCGAAAGCGGCGCGCUGGAUCCCUUCUGACGCUGAGGCGCGAAAGCCAGGGGAGCAAACGGG